GGCGCUUUGGCGGAGUGGUUAACGCGUCAGCCUCGAACGGUUCGAUAGAACUCAAUAGCAAGCUGAUUCCUUCGGGAGCGUGUGUUCGAAUCACACAGGCGUCG
Phaeosphaeria sp. MPI-PUGE-AT-0046c is the source of this 104-nucleotide non-coding RNA. Lineage: Eukaryota; Fungi; Ascomycota; Dothideomycetes; Pleosporales; Phaeosphaeriaceae. The record is from the annotation of a GenBank genome assembly.